RNAcentral lists this ribosomal RNA (1390 nucleotides) under Psychrobacter alimentarius. RNAcentral describes it as "bacterial SSU rRNA". It matches the Rfam family "Bacterial small subunit ribosomal RNA". Lineage: Bacteria; Pseudomonadati; Pseudomonadota; Gammaproteobacteria; Moraxellales; Moraxellaceae. The record is from RNAcentral.
GUCGAGCGGUAACAUUUCUAGCUUGCUAGAAGAUGACGAGCGGCGGACGGGUGAGUAAUACUUAGGAAUCUACCUAGUAGUGGGGGAUAGCUCGGGGAAACUCGAAUUAAUACCGCAUACGACCUACGGGAGAAAGGGGGCAGUUUACUGCUCUCGCUAUUAGAUGAGCCUAAGUCGGAUUAGCUAGAUGGUGGGGUAAAGGCCUACCAUGGCGACGAUCUGUAGCUGGUCUGAGAGGAUGAUCAGCCACACCGGAACUGAGACACGGUCCGGACUCCUACGGGAGGCAGCAGUGGGGAAUAUUGGACAAUGGGGGCAACCCUGAUCCAGCCAUGCCGCGUGUGUGAAGAAGGCCUUUUGGUUGUAAAGCACUUUAAGCAGUGAAGAAGACUCCGUGGUUAAUACCCACGGACGAUGACAUUAGCUGCAGAAUAAGCACCGGCUAACUCUGUGCCAGCAGCCGCGGUAAUACAGAGGGUGCAAGCGUUAAUCGGAAUUACUGGGCGUAAAGCGAGCGUAGGUGGCUUGAUAAGUCAGAUGUGAAAUCCCCGGGCUUAACCUGGGAACUGCAUCUGAUACUGUUAGGCUAGAGUAGGUGAGAGGAAGGUAGAAUUCCAGGUGUAGCGGUGAAAAUGCGUAGAGAUCUGGAGGAAUACCGAUGGCGAAGGCAGCCUUCUGGCAUCAUACUGACACUGAGGCUCGAAAGCGUGUGUAGCAAACAGGAUUAGAUACCCUGGUAGUCCACGCCGUAAACGAUGUCUACUAGUCGUUGGGUCCCUUGAGGACUUAGUGACGCAGCUAACGCAAUAAGUAGACCGCCUGGGGAGUACGGCCGCAAGGUUAAAACUCAAAUGAAUUGACGGGGGCCCGCACAAGCGGUGGAGCAUGUGGUUUAAUUCGAUGCAACGCGAAGAACCUUACCUGGUCUUGACAUAUCUAGAAUCCUGCAGAGAUGCGGGAGUGCCUUCGGGAAUUAGAAUACAGGUGCUGCAUGGCUGUCGUCAGCUCGUGUCGUGAGAUGUUGGGUUAAGUCCCGCAACGAGCGCAACCCUUUUCCUUAGUUACCAGCGGGUUAUGCCGGGAACUCUAAGGAUACUGCCAGUGACAAACUGGAGGAAGGCGGGGACGACGUCAAGUCAUCAUGGCCCUUACGACCAGGGCUACACACGUGCUACAAUGGUAGGUACAGAGGGCAGCUACACAGCGAUGUGAUGCGAAUCUCAAAAAGCCUAUCGUAGUCCAGAUUGGAGUCUGCAACUCGACUCCAUGAAGUAGGAAUCGCUAGUAAUCGCGGAUCAGAAUGCCGCGGUGAAUACGUUCCCGGGCCUUGUACACACCGCCCGUCACACCAUGGGAGUUGAUUGCACCAGAAGUGGAUAGCUUAACCUUC